ACAAUUAGAUAUUAAUUAGUAUUAUAAUUUUCACUGUAAUUAAUAUAAGUUAGAUAAGUCAUACAAAUCUAAUUUUGAAUUUCAUCCAAAUUCUUUCUUAAAUUUCGGAACACGUUUUAGAAAUUUAAAUGUGACGUCACUUUGGGCGUUGCAUCGACUAUGGCUAACAGGGCUGUGAUUUUGUAAUGUAUUCGUUUGUAUUCUAUAGCUAGUCACCAC
This 219-nucleotide long non-coding RNA is filed under the name Mytilus galloprovincialis (Mediterranean mussel). The record is from RNAcentral. Lineage: Eukaryota; Metazoa; Mollusca; Bivalvia; Mytilida; Mytilidae.